RNAcentral lists this long non-coding RNA (206 nucleotides) under Rattus norvegicus (Norway rat). RNAcentral's name for it is "long non-coding RNA NONRATT005261". The record is from RNAcentral. Lineage: Eukaryota; Metazoa; Chordata; Mammalia; Rodentia; Muridae.
CCACGAGUUCGUGCUUCCGUUUUCAUGUCCAGGUUCCACUGGAUCUGAACGUUGUCGCCGCCUCCCCCGCAAGAGUGGCAGUGUUCGGGUGUCCUCUUUUCUCAAAAUGAGUUAAUUCCACCGGAUCUGGACGUUGCCGCUGACUCUCCCGCGAGAAUGACAGGGUUCGGAUGUCCUCUUUUCUCAAAUAAAAUGUUUUAACUUAA